GCCUGGGUGGCUCAGUGGUUGAGCAUAUGCCUUUGGCUCAAGGCGUGAUCCCGAGGUCCUGGGAUCAAGUCCCAGAUCGGGCU
This 83-nucleotide transfer RNA is filed under the name Canis lupus familiaris (dog). It matches the Rfam family "tRNA". From Rfam's summary of the family: Transfer RNA (tRNA) molecules are approximately 80 nucleotides in length. Their secondary structure includes four short double-helical elements and three loops (D, anti-codon, and T loops). Further hydrogen bonds mediate the characteristic L-shaped molecular structure. tRNAs have two regions of fundamental functional importance: the anti-codon, which is responsible for specific mRNA codon recognition, and the 3' end, to which the tRNAs corresponding amino acid is attached (by aminoacyl-tRNA synthetases). tRNAs cope with the degeneracy of the genetic code in two manners: having more than one tRNA (with a specific anti-codon) for a particular amino acid; and 'wobble' base-pairing, i.e. permitting non-standard base-pairing at the 3rd anti-codon position. The record is from Rfam by way of RNAcentral. Lineage: Eukaryota; Metazoa; Chordata; Mammalia; Carnivora; Canidae. RNAcentral also lists the same sequence under 1 other name.